Molecule: RNA transcript, 1348 nt
Organism: Bombus impatiens (common eastern bumble bee)
Lineage: Eukaryota; Metazoa; Arthropoda; Insecta; Hymenoptera; Apidae
Gene: TfIIEbeta
Gene name: general transcription factor IIE subunit 2
Exons: 5
Source: RefSeq, a predicted model, not a curated record
UAGUUUCAUUUCAUGCUAUGGACAUGGAACGAAUGAUGAGAUGGUUAGAUGACUCAUUAUGCGUUUAGAAUGUGACGGAAGUGAUAGUUCAUAAGGAAAGUGGAGAUUUGAGAUUUUGACAUUUGUGCAAUUGAAAUUUUAUAAUACAAUGGAUCCAGCAUUGCUUAGAGAGCGAGAGCUCUUUAAGAAAAGAGCUCUUACAACACCAUCGGUGGAGAAAAGAAAGAAGGAACAGGAGAAAGAUACCACACGAGAUGAGCCAUUCAAAAAAAAGCCAAAACUAUCCUCCGUGUCUAGCGGACCCAAACUAGACAUGGUUAACUACAAAACCAUGUCUGGCAGUACGCAAUAUAAAUUUGGUGUGUUAGCCAAAAUAGUAAAGCAUAUGAAAGCUAGGCAUCAAGAAGGAGAUGAUCACCCUUUAACGUUAGAAGAAAUCUUGGAUGAAACAAAUCAAUUAGAUGUUGGAUCCAAGGUAAAACAAUGGCUUCAAACAGAAGCUCUCAUUAAAAACCCAAAGAUAGAAGUAACUUCGGAUGGUAGAUUUGUAUUCAAAGCUAUGUAUAAAAUUAAAGAUAAAAAAUCUUUAUUGAGAUUAUUAAAACAACAAGAUUUAAAAGGUCUUGGCGGAAUACUAUUAGAAGAUAUACAAGAAAGUCUGCCACACUGUGAUAAGCAUUUAAAGAGUUUACAAAAUGAGAUAUUAUUUAUAACAAGACCCUUGGACAAGAAAAAGAUUGUAUUUUAUAAUGAUAAAACAGCACAGUUUCCAAUAGACGAUGAAUUUCAAAAGUUGUGGAGGGCUGUUGCAGUCGAUGCAAUGGAUGAUCAAAAAAUCGAUGAAUACUUAGAGAAACAAGGAAUACGAUCUAUGCAGGAUCAUGGCCCCAAAAAACCAGCCCCGAUUAAACGAAAGAAACCUGUUAGUAAGAGAAAACAGUUCAAAAAACCAAGAGACAACGAACAUUUAGCAGAUGUUUUAGAAACGUACGAUGAUACGAAAUAAAUACGAAAUGAUCCUGAAACUUUGUAAAGAGACUAAAUCUAUGACCUAAGUGUUAAAAGAGAGAUAAGAAUGUUUUAUUAUCAUAACUUUUUACGAUCAUUAUGUAAGAGAAAUUGUCUAUUUUGGAGUUAACAUGUUAGCGUUACAUAUCACAGUGAUAUAAUAAAUAAGAAAUAUUUAUUGUCAUAAUUUCAUUGUUACAUUUGUAAUCAGCCUCACAAAGUGAACAGAUACAAUUUUCAUAUGUAUGUUAUAGCAAGAUAGGACGUGAAAUUUUGAUUCAAAUAUUUAUAUCUUGCGUCAAAUUUUUACAUACAUUAAUUGAUAUUAAAACUAUAAAUU